UACGUAGGUGGCGAGCGUUGUCCGGAUUUACUGGGCGUAAAGGGAGCGUAGGCGGACUUUUAAGUGAGGUGUGAAAUACCCGGGCUCAACUUGGGUGCUGCAUUUCAAACUGGAAGUCUAGAGUGCAGGAGAGGAGAAUGGAAUUCCUAGUGUAGCGGUGAAAUGCGUAGAGAUUAGGAAGAACACCAGUGGCGAAGGCGAUUCUCUGGACUGUAACUGACGCUGAGGCUCGAAAGCGUGGGGAGCAAACAGGAUUAGAUACCCGCGUA
This 269-nucleotide ribosomal RNA is filed under the name uncultured prokaryote. RNAcentral describes it as "partial 16S ribosomal RNA". It matches the Rfam family "Bacterial small subunit ribosomal RNA", at positions 524 to 792 of the family's 1533-position model. The record is from RNAcentral.